UACAGAGGUCCCAAGCGUUGUUCGGAUUCACUGGGCGUAAAGGGUGCGUAGGCGGUGGGGUAAGUCUGAUGUGAAAUCUCGGAGCUCAACUCCGAAAUGGCAUUGGAAACUACCUCGCUAGAGGGUUGGAGGGGGGACUGGAAUUCUCGGUGUAGCAGUGAAAUGCGUAGAUAUCGAGAGGAACACCAGUGGCGAAGGCGAGUCCCUGGACAACUCCUGACGCUCAGGCACGAAAGCUAGGGGAGCAAAC
This 250-nucleotide ribosomal RNA is filed under the name uncultured bacterium. Its description in RNAcentral is "partial 16S ribosomal RNA". It matches the Rfam family "Bacterial small subunit ribosomal RNA", at positions 524 to 773 of the family's 1533-position model. The record is from RNAcentral.